Molecule: long non-coding RNA, 282 nt
Filed under: Malus domestica (apple)
Lineage: Eukaryota; Viridiplantae; Streptophyta; Magnoliopsida; Rosales; Rosaceae
Description: long non-coding RNA (MDOM_LNC003330)
Source: RNAcentral
AGAGAAGAAUGCAGCAUGCACAAUCAACUCAACAGAAGGAGUCUGAGUUGAGGAACUCGAGAAGAUGCCACAUUUUCUUGAAGAACAUAUAAGGCAAGUAAAAAUGAUACCCUGCAGCAUGUGGAGACAACGUGCAAAAUAAAUAAGCAGAGAAGAAUGCAACAUGCACAGUCAACUCAGCAGAAGGAGUCUGAGCUGAGGAACUCGAGAAAAUGCCACAUUCUGCCAGAAUAAUAGAUAAGGCAAGGGAAAAUGAUACAUUGAAGCAUGUGGAGACAUGCA